AACGUUUUUUUUCGAAACCAAUGGCUUACAAAAGUAUUUUCGAGCUCAAGGAGCACUUUCAAGCAAGGCAACUUUCCGUUAACUUAUGAUUGCCAACUCUUGCAACCAACUUUUGCCACCAACUUUGACCUCCAUGAACUUGGCACCAAAAAUUGAUUUUUUUUAAUUUUGAUAGAAACAAAUCGUUUGUUCGUCAUUCGUUCUUAAAUGUUUGUUAAAUAACUUUAUUUGUCCUAAUAUUAUUUAUUUUUACCUACCUCUACCCUCCAUAAUUCUACUCUUUAAUAUAAUUUCGAGUUUUUUAAUAUUACUUGGAUCCUAAUUAUUAUAGUUACAGUCUUAGUUUCUCAUGUGCUCAUCAGAUACUUUUUCAACAGCAAAAUGGAGUAUAUCAACAAAAACUGAUAGAUCAUUAUUGAUUAAUGAUUGUAGUAGAUGAUAUUUUUUAUAUUUUGCUUGGGUAUGUCUUAACGUUAAGAUUUAUAAACAUGAAUUGAGACACUUUAACGAAGGAGUUGGUCAACAUGUUGGAAUUAAAUAACAAUGAACUAUCUAAAAAAUCAUGCAAUGUUUACUUGCAAAAAUUAUCAAUGCUUAGUGGGCAGUCAGUAAUGAAAAUAUCUAUUCAGAAACUGAUAGUGAAAGCGGUGUCGAAGCAAAUAAAGGAAACAGCUGUUUCUCAUGUCCGCUUAAAAACCAAAUUUGGAAAUGGCGUUGAUGCUGCAGCAAAAACCUACAAAAGUCGACAAUGCGAACGAGCGAUAGGUGAUGAUUAUUAAAGACCUUAAGCGUUAUAGAAGUGUAGAAGGUUUAAAACAUUGUAAUACUUCCAAAUACGAAAAAAUGGGGAUGAAAAAUGUGCGACUGAAAAAGCGACUACUAUUGACAAUAUCAAAACAGGAAAAAAAGCUCGCUAAUCAAUUCGACAUACCAUGAGAAGAGUUGGAGAUGCAGAGAUGGUCAGAAUUUAUUACCUAUAUUAAUUCUACUUGUGACUAUCAAAUGAAACUAGGAGAGUUAUUUUAACUAGGUGAUAUACUCUAGUGUACAGACUGUCGGAAUCAAUGAAAUAGCCUGGAAAAAAUAAAACAGAAGUUGAGUCCUGUUGUGGGUUUCUCAAUGAACACUGUCUUAAAAAUGAUACCUAUGAACACAGUAUUAUCGUAGCUACAAUAUUUAUUAUUAUUUUUCUGCGUUGUUGUUAGAACAAUAAGUGUGUCUACAGAAGAGGAAAAAGAGAAUAGAAAAUAGAAGGUCUUUUACGGACAAAUACAUUCUAGUGAUAUACGCGGUUGCCCUCACAUUGAUAAUCUUAUAUCCUUACCUAAGAAGUUUAGUUAACAUAAUCUCUUAUGAAUCAAGAUGUGGUGGUCAAGUAUUUGCAUAAACAAGGCAUUAUAAUUUGGAGUUUUUGUGCGAAUACAAGAAUUUAAGUAAUUGAACGACAAGAAUAUUAUUAAUUACCUAUUAUUGUGUCAAAAAACGUUUUUACGAUAUUAAUUGAAAAUGAACAUAUUAAAUUAGAUACAUUCAUGGCAUCACUACUUCAUGAUCUCAAUAAGGUAAAUCUAUUUUUAUUGUGUGAUAUAGUUUUUACUUCGUAAAAAUGAUAUAAUUAGUAUGCUAUAUACCUAUGACUUUAUUUGUUUUUUAGGGUGUAUAUUGCAUAUUUAUGAAUCGUCCGUUUUAGUCUACUAUAGUAAUUUAAAAUCUUCGAAUUGUGUUGUAACUUCCGGAUGGAUACUUCAAAAAUUUCUGAUUUCGGUCUUCAUGGUAUGCGGCAUUGUGCUGAAUCUGAAAACAUUGGUGAACAUCAAUAUAAUGAAAUCUAUUUUGGAAAGCAUCAGAAUUAUUGAAAAAUACCAAUGCACCUAUCAGAAAUACACUAGACAGUGAUAUUUAUUCUUUUGUCAUCAUAUUUUUGAGAUAGUCGGUAGAAAAGAACCAUUUGGUGGAGUUAGUCUGAAACCCAACGAAAUAAUAAACAAAGUAAAAAAGUAUCCAGAAUAUGACAAGCCAUCAUUUAGACCCGACAUUGUGAAAUUUUCAACGUCUGACACGAAUUGUGUUGACUACGUAAUUAACACGAUAACAGACUGCUGGACAGAAAACUCAUAAUUACCCUGAUAACACGAGUUGAUCGAGAAAAAGUUGGUCAUUCAUUAGUUUUCGACCAACUUGACGACAAGUUAUCGACAACUUCAGCUUUUGCAACUUUUGGCUACAAGUUACCGCCAACUUUCUCAGAAAGUUGGCGGCAGUAUGGAGCCGCAACUGGAAUGCAAGUUUUUGAGGAAAUUGAAAGUAAACUUACCGUCAACUUAUGAUCACCAACUUUUGCAAGCAACUUUUGCCACCAACUUUCUCAGAAAGUGAUCGUCAACUUUUUGGAUUUACAACUUUUGCCACCAACUUUCUCAGAAAAUGUCCAUCAACUAUUGGAGGUACCAACUGUUGGCGAUCAACUUGGUUCCAGUUGCGGCUGCAAGUUUCUCGUCAGUUUCUCGCCAACUUGGCUAUCAGGGUAAGACUGGAUUUCAAGACAAUUCUAAUAACGCGCUUAAAGAAAAUGAAAACUGAUAGACAUUGUAAUAUUAUAGAUUAGAUGAUGAAUAUAGUAGAGAAGAAUGUCAACAACCUCGAAGAUCUCGUCAAUGAGCUUACGCGCCUUCUCUUUGAGGAGAAACAAAAACCUGAGGAUCUAAUUAAUAGAAUACCUAUUACUGUUUGACUAAUUGAAUCGGCGUUGAACCUGAGGUUUUUGAUUUAGUAGGAACCUAUUGCAAUAAUAUCGUUAGAUUCAUCGCUAUGUAUGCUGAAAGUACUCCUUUCCAGGAUUUUAUUUUUCUUAAUAAUCUAUUACGUUAUUUUAUCGUGUAAUCAAAGGUUAUUGCGUUUCUAAAGCCCAAACUAUCGGUGACGCAUACAUGGCGGUACCUAAUUUUUUUGCAGUGAAAAAUUAAUUCAUUUACUUUUAUUAAUUUAAAAAUAGUAAUAGUUUCAAUGUUUUUAAAGCUUCUUAACGCAGUUAAACAUCAUACGAUUGUUCGUUGGCCAAAUAAUACGUCAAAAUUGCGGAUAGGAAUUUAUACGAGUACGGAAAAUUUAUGCUUAUUAUUAUGAUCUAUGAUCUGUUUAUUUAUUGUCAUAUUUAAGUUUAUAUUUAUCUAAUGAUACAUAAUUGUGUACAUUAAGUUUUACAAUUAGUUUUUGAUUACAUACUCAGCUUGAAUUUUUUUUUAAUCAAAAUAUUUUUCUUUUCCAAGCGAACGAAACGCUUGUCUAAUUGGUAUCAUUUAUAAUUCUGUUUAUUUCAAUCCAACUAUGAUUUUUAUUAUUAUUAAGAGAAUUAAUGAUUAUAAUUAGUAAUUAAAAUACAGCAUAGAUUUCAAGCAUAUGGAAUUUAUGUAUAUGAAAGUUACUGACGAGUGUUUAUUUUUUAGAUUUUAUAAUUUGUACCGUUAAAAAUUUUUAUAAUUGUUCGUAUUGAGAAUUUUGGUUAAUUAAUAAUAAUUAUGAUUAUGUUUAUAAAAUUAAUUUUCGUGGUCUACAGAGUGUGAAAAAAAUUUUUUUUUUGUUUUUGUAACGAAAGCGCUUUGUCGCAACCGAAGUUUAAAAACUAACAAAUAAAACAAAGGAGACAUAAUCCUUGUAUUAAUACUUUAACUAAAAAAUUAUUAAUGAUUUAUUGUUGUGUAAUCUAUAAUUUCCAUAAUUAUAUAAUUAUAUGAGUACAUGACAUAUAGAAUUUUUUUUGUUCACCGAAAGAACGCAAAUUAUCUGUAUGGCUGUGGAAAGUGAACUGAAUUGUACCUCAGAUGCUAGCGUAAGAAAUUAUAAUAUCAAUUAUGUUAAAUGUAUGUAGCUGGAUAGUUAUAAUCUAUCUAAUAUUUAUGGUAUGAUAAUAUAAAUAAUAGCUAUAAAUAAUAUUACUAAUAACUAUACUAAAAAUACCUGACAAAAUAUGUAAAAAUUAACAAUAGAGAAACAAGGAAUUAAAAUAUCCAGACACUAUUGCUAUCUAUAAUGUGGAAUAAAUAUUAUAAACGUACACUCAAAUUUAUUGAUAUAUUCUUAUA
Long non-coding RNA from Microplitis demolitor, 4079 nucleotides. RefSeq lists it as uncharacterized. Lineage: Eukaryota; Metazoa; Arthropoda; Insecta; Hymenoptera; Braconidae. The transcript is spliced from 10 exons. The record is from RefSeq and is a predicted model, not a curated record.